AGAUUUGUUUUAACACGAAGUAAAACAGAAAGGGCACUACUGAAAAAAAACAGAAUCCCGUCCGUCCUUUCAGGGGAAGGAAAUUGGCUUGCAAACCUCACUCUUCUCUCUGUUUGCCUCAGAUUCUACCUGUUUAGAUUUCAGACUGGCCCUGGAUCUUGGGCUACAAUAUAGGGUCCAUCAUCACCCUAAGAACAGAGAUGACAGGUUUAAGGGUGAUGCAGCUUGGGGAGGCCUGCACUGAAGCACGGCAAGGAAGAACGAAGCUAUUCCUAGAUUAGGCUGGACAGAAACUGAGCAGGCACUCAAGAAUAAAGGACAGGCAUAUUCACAGUGAGUGUGCAGAGGGUACCUGCAGAUGCCCAGCUGCUUAUCAAACUGGUGAAUAGGCUGCAGGUCCCACAGGUUGGAAAGUAAGAUGGUUCGGCUGCUGUGAAGAAUGCUGUAUGACAAUCAACAUGUUUACUGUGGACCUACCACAGGACCAGUCACUCUCUCUGUGGAUGUUACAGCCAUGGCAUAGAAGUGCUGUUUCUAACAGCCAAAAGCCAAGAGCCAGGCAAGUGACUGCCAAUGUACAAAAGAUGAACCUCCCAGAACAGAACCACCAGCAGGGACCAAGCAUCCAAACCACUGGGCUCUGGGGAAGAUUUCACACUCAGGACCUUCCAGGAGUCCAUGUUCUUCUUUCACACUCACAAGGAGAAAUUCGAGAAGAAAGUCACCUGGCUGGAAGAGCCACACCGCAUGGUCUGUCCACGGUCGCUGGUUUUAAAGCAGCAACUCCUAUAAUGCCAAAAUAACGAACGCUCCUUCUGCUUCAGGAUUCAAACUCCAAGCUUGCUAAGUUUUAUAAAGCAAAAGAAGGAAAUGAAUCCAAUAAAGCUAUUAAGUUAUAGUCAA
This 903-nucleotide long non-coding RNA is filed under the name Mus musculus (house mouse). Its description in RNAcentral is "RIKEN cDNA 4930579J19 gene". The record is from RNAcentral. Lineage: Eukaryota; Metazoa; Chordata; Mammalia; Rodentia; Muridae.